AUGCUUGCUGAGCUUGAGCAUCUCGCCCGUGGCGCUGCGGCCAUACUUUGCCUACUGGUCUUCCAUGUUGCAUUGUCUGAUUUCCGUGCUCAAGCAAGGAUGUCAGGUGGGACGCAAACUUGCAUCAGCAUGGAGCGGGAUGCGCUUCUAUCCUUCAAGGCAGGCCUUCUGGACCCUGUUGGUCGUCUCUCAUCAUGGCAGGGCGAAGAAUGCUGUCAGUGGGAGGGAGUCCGGUGCAACAGCAGAACAGGUCAUGUCAUAAAGCUCGAUCUCCGCAACACCUACAUGCCUGACUAUGAUGCCGUCAUGAAUGGCUACGCCAGGCUCAACAGGCUCAACAGCCAAAGCUUGUUCAUAGAUGAGAUGAGCUCCUCUUUAGCUGUUUUGCAACAAUUGAGGUAUCUUGAUCUGAGUGGGAAUGACUUCAAUGGCACUACCAUACCUUUGUUCGUGGGCUCUCUGGAGAACUUAAGGUACCUCAAUCUCUCGUGGUCAGGUUUUGGUGGGAGAAUACCUUCCCAACUCGGUAAUCUCUCAAACUUGGAAUAUCUUGAUAUUAGUGGGAAUUACUAUCAGCAGGUUGAUAUCGGUGACAAUUAUUUAUAUCGUCUACACACCGUCGAUCUAGCAUGGUUGAAGCAUCUCCCAUUGCUGCGUAAUCUUGACAUGAGUGAUGUGGACCUCAGUCAUGUGCAGGAUUGGGUUUACCUGCUUAACAUGCAUUCUUCUCUGAUAGUGCUUCGCUUGGUAGAUUGUGGGCUUACCAGCACAAUGUCAGCUACUUCAAAAUCAAACCUCACACAUCUUGAAGUCCUUGAUCUGUCAUGCAACUCGUUUAACACAACACUAGAGCACUACUGGUUUUGGGAUCUCACCGGCCUUAAAAAGCUUCACCUAGGUGUCUGUGACUGGCAUGGACGUAUUCCUAAAGAACUGGGAAACAUGACGUCCCUUCAAGUCAUAGAUUUAGGUUUCAAUUAUCUUGUGGGUUUGAUACCGAGCAACUUACAAAAUUCUUGCAAUUUGAAAGUGUUGAUUUUUGAGUAUAACAACAUCAACGCAAGCAUAGAGGAGUUCAUGGAUCGGUUGCCAAGGUGCUCAUGGAGUACAAUACAAGAGUUCUCAGUGGGCUAUGCAAGCAUGAGCGGAAAACUACCAAUUUGGAUUGGGAACAUGACUAGUCUCACUGUUCUUUCAGCUGGUCAAAACAUGAUAACUGGUACUGUGCCGAUCGGAGUAGGGGCACUUGGUAACUUGACAGUGUUAAAACUCGGUGGAAAUAAACUCGAGGGCAUGCUCGCAAAGGAGCAUUUUUCAGGCUUACAGAAUUUAGAGUCUCUGGACUUGUCGGGCAACUCGUUGAAAAUGCAUAUUGAUCCAAAUUGGGUUCCUCCCUUUAGACUAAAGAGCAUAAACUUAGAGUCGUGCACAGUGGGGCCCCGUUUUCCAGAGUGGCUUAGAUGGCAGACCAACAUUGAUAUUCUUUAUCUCGGAAAUACAAGUUUGGAUGAUGUUAUUCCUGAUUGGUUUUGGAUGACGUUUUCCAGAGCUUUGUUCUUGGAUGCAUCAGGAAACAUGUUGCGCGGUUCAUUACCGUUAAAUCUACAACACAUGUCAACUAAAUCUCUGUCUCUUGGGUCCAAUAACCUGACAGGUCUAAUACCACGACUCCUCCCUGUAAAUAUAUCAAAAUUGCAUCUGUCUUCAAACUCUUUCUCAGGGUCAUUGCCAUUAGGGCUAAAAGCUCCAUUACUUGAGGAGUUAUCGCUAGCAAAUAAUCAAAUUAUAGGUAUCAUUCCAUGA
RNAcentral lists this ribosomal RNA (1803 nucleotides) under Triticum aestivum (bread wheat). RNAcentral describes it as "partial small subunit ribosomal RNA". The record is from RNAcentral. Lineage: Eukaryota; Viridiplantae; Streptophyta; Magnoliopsida; Poales; Poaceae.